This 77-nucleotide transfer RNA is filed under the name Ictidomys tridecemlineatus (thirteen-lined ground squirrel). RNAcentral describes it as "Spermophilus tridecemlineatus (thirteen-lined ground squirrel) tRNA". It matches the Rfam family "tRNA". Rfam says of the family: Transfer RNA (tRNA) molecules are approximately 80 nucleotides in length. Their secondary structure includes four short double-helical elements and three loops (D, anti-codon, and T loops). Further hydrogen bonds mediate the characteristic L-shaped molecular structure. tRNAs have two regions of fundamental functional importance: the anti-codon, which is responsible for specific mRNA codon recognition, and the 3' end, to which the tRNAs corresponding amino acid is attached (by aminoacyl-tRNA synthetases). tRNAs cope with the degeneracy of the genetic code in two manners: having more than one tRNA (with a specific anti-codon) for a particular amino acid; and 'wobble' base-pairing, i.e. permitting non-standard base-pairing at the 3rd anti-codon position. RNAcentral also lists the same sequence under 1 other name. Lineage: Eukaryota; Metazoa; Chordata; Mammalia; Rodentia; Sciuridae. The record is from Rfam by way of RNAcentral.
GGGGAUAUAGCUCACUUGGUAGAGUGCUUACCUUAAUUGCAUGCAUGAGGCCCUGGGUUCAAUCUCCAGUACCACCA